UACGUAGGGUGCAAGCGUUGUCCGGAAUUAUUGGGCGUAAAGAGCUCGUAGGCGGUUUGUCGCGUCGGAUGUGAAAACUUGGGGCUCAACCCCAAGCCUGCAUUCGAUACGGGCAGACUAGAGUUCGGUAGGGGAGACUGGAAUUCCUGGUGUAGCGGUGAAAUGCGCAGAUAUCAGGAGGAACACCGAUGGCGAAGGCAGGUCUCUGGGCCGACACUGACGCUGAGGAGCGAAAGCGUGGGGAGCAAACAGG
This 253-nucleotide ribosomal RNA is filed under the name uncultured bacterium. RNAcentral describes it as "partial 16S ribosomal RNA". It matches the Rfam family "Bacterial small subunit ribosomal RNA", at positions 524 to 776 of the family's 1533-position model. The record is from RNAcentral.